CAGCAGCCGCGGUAAUACGAAGGGUGCAAGCGUUACUCGGAAUUACUGGGCGUAAAGCGUGCGUAGGUGGUGGUUUAAGUCCGUUGUGAAAGCCCUGGGCUCAACCUGGGAAUUGCAGUGGAUACUGGGUCACUAGAGUGUGGUAGAGGAUAGUGGAAUUUCCGGUGUAGCAGUGAAAUGCGUAGAGAUCGGGAGGAACAUCAGUGGCGAAGGCGGCCUUCUGGGACAACACUGACGCUGAGGCACGAAAGCGUGGGGAGCAAACAGGAUUAGAGACCCCUGUAGUCCCUGUCUCUUAUAC
Molecule: ribosomal RNA, 301 nt
Filed under: uncultured bacterium
Lineage: Bacteria
Description: partial 16S ribosomal RNA
Rfam family: Bacterial small subunit ribosomal RNA
Source: RNAcentral